AGUGAACGCUGGCGGUAGGCCUAACACAUGCAAGUCGAACGGCAGCACAGUAAGAGCUUGCUCUUACGGGUGGCGAGUGGCGGACGGGUGAGGAAUACAUCGGAAUCUACUUUUUCGUGGGGGAUAACGUAGGGAAACUUACGCUAAUACCGCAUACGACCUACGGGUGAAAGCAGGGGAUCUUCGGACCUUGCGCGAUUGAAUGAGCCGAUGUCGGGUUAGCUAGUUGGCGGGGUAAAGGCCCACCAAGGCGACGAUCCGUAGCUGGUCUGAGAGGAUGAUCAGCCACACUGGAACUGAGACACGGUCCAGACUCCUACGGGAGGCAGCAGUGGGGAAUAUUGGACAAUGGGCGCAAGCCUGAUCCAGCCAUACCGCGUGGGUGAAGAAGGCCUUCGGGUUGUAAAGCCCUUUUGUUGGGAAAGAAAAGCAGCAGGUUAAUACCACGCUGUUCUGACGGUACCCAAAGAAUAAGCACCGGCUAACUUCGUG
RNAcentral lists this ribosomal RNA (492 nucleotides) under uncultured bacterium. Its description in RNAcentral is "partial 16S ribosomal RNA". It matches the Rfam family "Bacterial small subunit ribosomal RNA", at positions 29 to 507 of the family's 1533-position model. The record is from RNAcentral.